Microcebus murinus (gray mouse lemur) is the source of this 1938-nucleotide non-coding RNA. The record is from RefSeq and is a predicted model, not a curated record. Lineage: Eukaryota; Metazoa; Chordata; Mammalia; Primates; Cheirogaleidae.
UCCCCAGCUGGUGUCUAAAUCCCUUAGCACAGCACCCAACUCUGGGCAGCCGUGCCAGCCUCGCUUUCCACCCUGCUCUCUUCUGUUCCUUUCUUCAACAAAUGAUCAUUAAGUGUCUGUCCUUGAGUGCUGUCAUCAGGUGCCAAUAACAGGGUAACAGGAUGGUAGACACGGAAGACGCGGAAGCAAACGAGAGCAGCUCUUUCACGCCGUCCCACCACGCCAAGCAGCUUGCGGAUCCUGGCUGUAAGACUGUGUUCAACCUCUUUGCUUUUUCCCGGGAUGCAGGGAAGGCGCUUACAUUCACUGAUCUCCUGGACAAUCACCACUUACCCUUCAUGGCUCAGUCAAAGUGCCACCUUCCCUAUGUGGCACUUCCUGAUCAUCCUUCUUCACCCGCAAACAUGGAUCCCGGCCUCCUUUCUAUCCCAAAGGUGUGUCUUUCUUCUCUCAGAGGAUCUACUAUACUUCGAUGCAUCUACUUGGCUAUGAGAUGGUCUCUCCCACUUCGCAGUGAAUUCUUUGCUCAAAGAGACCUUUUAUUUCUCUCUACAUCCCCACGGGGACCUGGUACAUAGACAUUAUGCAUCCAUCCAUCCACCCACCUAUCCAGCCAUCCAACAAAUGUUUCUGAUUGUCCUCACUGCGACAGCCAUUUCUCCAGGCUCUGUGGAUAUGGAGAAGAACAAGAAAGAUGUGGCUUCUACAUCCUAGUUGGGGGGAGGAAUAGACAGUGGAACUAAACAAUAAUCAAGAUAGGCGAGUGAGAAGUUCUGCAAAAUAAAUCAACAGAGCGAUGUCCCAGAGGGCACUACUUUAGAAGGAAUGAUCACAUCCUACAGGAAGGUGGCAUUUGUGAUGAGUCCCAGAACAUAAGAAAGGACACAGCCAAGAACAUGGGGACAAAGAGACCUGACGAAUGAUGCCCCUCCCCGCAGGCUGCUCCCACCCUUGUGCCUCAUCUCGCUGAAGGGAGAGGACGGAACCAAGGGAAGCAACGUGGAGUGGGGUGUUUGUUGUUCAUGGGCUGGACCCCAAAACUGAAACCGUGAAUCCAGUGAUGGUGUUCACGCCUCAGCAAACGUGCCAUCUCGCUGGAAAGCUGCAGAGGCCCCGACUGCAUUCGCCACGCACAGCCGGGUCAGCAGAACGCCGCUCCGCCUUGGAGGCCAGCUCAGCUCCGCCGGCCGGAGAAAGACGAUACAGACUGUGGUUUCUCAGUUCCUGGGGCUUAGGGAGCUCCAAGUUCCCUCUCUCCCUGCGCUUCCUGCGCUGUUGUUAAUUUUAGAGAAGACCUUGCCCUCUCCUCAUAUUGCCAUUGAGUUCCCCGUGGCCUCAGUUUAUCCGUCUGUGAAAUAGAAAACCUACGGUUAACUCCUUUACCUAUGGCACGAGAGGUGGGUGUGGCCCUUGUGGGCCUCGCUGCAGCCUCUCCUCGCCCCCAGUCACCCCCUCUUCCUCUCCUGCCUCUGCCAUUCUUCCUCCCCCUCCAGCCCUCUCUCGGGGAGGUCCCUGCCCUCUCUCGCCACUCUGCCCCUGCAGCGGGAGAUAAAGAGUGUGCGACUUUCUGGUUGAGAAGGUUUGCUUUGCAGAAACACAGCCGACUUGUGGUCCUGCCCUUCCCACCUGGGGACAAUGUUUAUUUACAUUUAGGAACACGAGGAGACUCAGCUGUGAGUUUCCGAGGCCGGGAAGAUUAUGCGAUACGUAACAGUGCGGCCCUCGGCUAGCGCUGAGCUGGUGCUGGGCUCCCGCGGCCGCCGGGCUCCGGGUAGAGGGCUCAGGGAGGCGAGUGUCGGAAAGGAGAGGUCUACAGCCCCUCUGAGUCCGGGGAUUAAUUUGCUGACAUAUUCAUAAGCCAAAAACAGAGACAGAGGGAUAGAGACAGGCAGAGCAAGACAGAGAGAAAGACAGACAGAGGUAGAGAGAGACAGAGAC